This 708-nucleotide long non-coding RNA is filed under the name Androctonus crassicauda. Lineage: Eukaryota; Metazoa; Arthropoda; Arachnida; Scorpiones; Buthidae. The record is from RNAcentral.
UCUAUAAUCUGCUGGCAGCAAAAGUAAGUCGAGUAAAUAUUUUCAUGGCGUAUAACAGUUAAAACUAUUAAUUCGCUUUCAUCAGUUUAAAAUUAAAUAAUAUUCUUUGAAAUUGUGGUAAUUUAUUGUGCUAACUGACGACUGAAAAGGUGGUAUUUUUAAAAUCACGUGAUGUACUUUUGUGUCAGUUGCAGGAAGUGUUGCGACAGGUACUGCAAUUACUUCUUCGUUGGGAGCGGAUUAUUCUGGAUGGAGUGCCGAAAAUAAGUUUUAUCGAUAUCUAUAUAGGAAAAAACUUUGCUAUGGAUCUUCGUAAGAAUCGAAGUUGUUGCUUUAGUGACACUCAGCAUUCUUCCUACGCCUCGGGAGUUUAUACUCUCGUAAGUAAACUGAUAUUUUUGUUUAUAGCAGUGAUGUCAUUAGGGAAGCGCGGCCCACGCUGGGCGACACGCAAUGUUUACAAACGUUUGUUAAAAAAUUACAUUUUUGACAAUUUUUCAAAUGUAAGCCCUUUUUAAUACGUUCACGAGCAAGUCUGUAUAUGUAUGUACUGUAUGUAAUGCUUUUAAUGUUUAGAAUUUAACAAUUAAUGAUAUCCCCUAUGAACGCCUUAAAUCGAUGCUUUCUAAGUAUGAUAGGAUUGCAAAGCCUGGAAAAAAUGGCAUCAAUCGAUAGGGAGGUCGAGAUAUGCAGAAUGGCUCUAGUAAA